This 253-nucleotide ribosomal RNA is filed under the name uncultured bacterium. RNAcentral's name for it is "partial 16S ribosomal RNA". It matches the Rfam family "Bacterial small subunit ribosomal RNA", at positions 524 to 776 of the family's 1533-position model. The record is from RNAcentral.
UACGAAGGGGGCUAGCGUUGCUCGGAAUCACUGGGCGUAAAGCGCGCGUAGGCGGUGAUCUUUGUCAGGGGUGAAAUCCCGAGGCUCAACUUCGGAAUUGCCUUUGAAACGGGAUCGCUUGAGUCCGAGAGAGGAUGGCGGAAUUCCUAGUGUAGAGGUGAAAUUCGUAGAUAUUAGGAAGAACACCGGUGGCGAAGGCGGCCAUCUGGCUCGGUACUGACGCUCAGGCGCGAAAGCGUGGGGAGCAAACAGG